Pezoporus occidentalis (night parrot) is the source of this 746-nucleotide long non-coding RNA. RefSeq lists it as uncharacterized. Lineage: Eukaryota; Metazoa; Chordata; Aves; Psittaciformes; Psittacidae. The record is from RefSeq and is a predicted model, not a curated record. The transcript has 3 exons.
AUAAUUCUUGUGUUCAAGAUAGAUUUAUUUUUCUUUGUUGCUUUUUGUGAGAACACUUAAUGUGUGUGCUGAAGGGAUGCACCUUAAAAUUAGAUAUUAUAUAUCAAAAUGUUUUUCUGGUAGAUAAAAUCAAUUGGUAUUACAUAAGCUUGUUCAUCGGGAGCUGUUUUCAGGAAAACCAACUUUUGACAAACUCCAGCUUUUUCUUUUAUUUUUUUAUUUUCUUUCCUGAAGGGAACCGAAACUAAUGUCUUAAACAGAGCUUCUGAUUCUUCUCUUUGGAAAUCACUGGGGUCUUACAGAGGAACUGAAAUCUUGUCUCCAUAAUUUUUGCAUAAACCAAGUUUAUCAACUGAAUGGUUUUGAGACCUUAUGUCCCGAAAAAAUGUCCAGAGCCUCUCUCAUCUUUGGUUACUGAGAAGAAUGUGAUCUCCUCAUGUCUGAAACUGUAUCUGGAAAGAUGCCACUGCAUGACUUUCAGAUACGUACGAAGUUUACAGCACAGUUCCCUAAUGCAAUGGACAGGUGCUUCAGACAGGGCCUAUAGGAGAUCCUGUUAGCAUUGAAAUCUUUCUUCAGUUCUCAGUUAAGGAGAUAUGGUGGUACCUUAUUGCUCUGUAGCAUGAUAGCUUUCAUCUUGAGAGCAAUGGGAAGAGUCCAAAUGGAUGGAAGAGACUUUUCCUCAGAUGUUGAGAUAAAUAUAAAAGUGUGCUUUUAAUAAAUGUGCUAAUAAACCAAACUUACUU